GACGAACGCUGGCGGCGUGCUUAACACAUGCAAGUCGAACGGAAAGGCCCUGCUUUUGUGGGGUGCUCGAGUGGCGAACGGGUGAGUAACACGUGAGUAACCUGCCCUUGACUUUGGGAUAACUUCAGGAAACUGGGGCUAACACCGGAUAGGAGCUCCUGCUGCAUGGUGGGGGUUGGAAAGUUUCGGCGGUUGGGGAUGGACUCGCGGCUUAUCAGCUUGUUGGUGGGGUAGUGGCUUACCAAGGCUUUGACGGGUAGCCGGCCUGAGAGGGUGACCGGCCACAUUGGGACUGAGAUACGGCCCAGACUCCUACGGGAGGCAGCAGUGGGGAAUAUUGCACAUUGGGCGGAAGCCUGAUGCAGCAACGCCGCGUGCGGGAUGACGGCCUUCGGGUUGUAAACCGCUUUCGCCUGUGACGAAGCGUGAGUGACGGUAAUGGGUAAAGAAGCACCGGCUAACUACGUG
RNAcentral lists this ribosomal RNA (468 nucleotides) under uncultured bacterium. Its description in RNAcentral is "partial 16S ribosomal RNA". It matches the Rfam family "Bacterial small subunit ribosomal RNA", at positions 28 to 507 of the family's 1533-position model. The record is from RNAcentral.